RNAcentral lists this ribosomal RNA (253 nucleotides) under uncultured bacterium. RNAcentral's name for it is "partial 16S ribosomal RNA". It matches the Rfam family "Bacterial small subunit ribosomal RNA", at positions 524 to 776 of the family's 1533-position model. The record is from RNAcentral.
UACGAAGGGGGCUAGCGUUGCUCGGAAUCACUGGGCGUAAAGCGCACGUAGGCGGCUCGUUAAGUCGGGUGUGAAAUCUCGGAGCUUAACUCCGAAACUGCAUUCGAUACUGCCGUGCUUGAGGACUGGAGAGGAGACUGGAAUUUACGGUGUAGCGGUGAAAUGCGUAGAUAUCGUAAGGAAGACCAGUGGCGAAGGCGGGUCUCUGGACAGUUCCUGACGCUGAGGCACGAAGGUCAGGGGAGCAAACGGG